GAUGAAGAACGCAGCGAAAUGCGAUACGUAAUGUGAAUUGCAGAAUUCAGUGAAUCAUCGAAUCUUUGAACGCAUAUUGCGCUCUUUGGCAUUCCGAAGAGCAUGCUUGUUUGAGUAUCAGUAAAACACUCAAAUCUUUUUUUUUUUUCUUGAAAAAGAUUUGGUUUUGAGUUCUCCUAACGAAAGAGAAAAACAAACUCUCUUUUGGCAGGUCACUUAAAAUUCAGGUGCAGCUGAACAUUCUUCUGAGCUAAAAGCAUAUCUAUUUAGUCCUAAUUAAAUUAGGAUUAUUACUUUUUUUGCUGCAGCUAACAUAAAGGUUGAUUGUUUCAAUGACUGAUGCAGGAAUUUAUCAGUGGAAGCGUUUGAAAAAGCGUAGAAACUGUGGAUCUCGAUCUCAAAUCAAGUAAGACUACCCGCUGAACUUAAGCAUAUCAAUAAGCGGAGGA
Molecule: unclassified non-coding RNA, 449 nt
Filed under: soil metagenome
Description: partial contains 5.8S ribosomal RNA, internal transcribed spacer 2, and large subunit ribosomal RNA
Rfam family: 5.8S ribosomal RNA (bases 1-120)
Source: RNAcentral